GUGCCUAAUACAUGCAAGUAGAACGCUGAAGGAGGAGCUUGCUUCUCUGGAUGAGUUGCGAACGGGUGAGUAACGCGUAGGUAACCUGCCUGGUAGCGGGGGAUAACUAUUGGAAACGAUAGCUAAUACCGCAUAACAGUAGAUGUUGCAUGACAUUUGCUUAAAAGGUGCAAUUGCAUCACUACCAGAUGGACCUGCGUUGUAUUAGCUAGUUGGUGGGGUAACGGCUCACCAAGGCGACGAUACAUAGCCGACCUGAGAGGGUGAUCGGCCACACUGGGACUGAGACACGGCCCAGACUCCUACGGGAGGCAGCAGUAGGGAAUCUUCGGCAAUGGACGGAAGUCUGACCGAGCAACGCCGCGUGAGUGGAGAAGGUUUUCGGAUCGUAAAGCUCUGUUGUAAGAGAAGAACGAGUGUGAGAGUGGAAAGUUCACACUGUGACGGUAUCUUACCAGAAAGGGACGGCUAACUACGUGCCAGCAGCCGCGGUAAUACGUAGGUCCCGAGCGUUGUCCGGAUUUAUUGGGCGUAAAGCGAGCGCAGGCGGUUAGAUAAGUCUGAAGUUAAAGGCUGUGGCUUAACCAUAGUACGCUUUGGAAACUGUUUAACUUGAGUGCAAGGGGGGAGAGUGGAAUUCCAUGUGUAGCGGUGAAAUGCGUAGAUAUAUGGAGGAACACCAGUGGCGAAGGCGACUUUCUGGUCUGUAACUGACGCUGAUGUGCGAAAGCGUGGGGAUC
Molecule: ribosomal RNA, 740 nt
Filed under: uncultured Streptococcaceae bacterium
Lineage: Bacteria; Bacillati; Bacillota; Bacilli; Lactobacillales; Streptococcaceae
Description: bacterial SSU rRNA
Rfam family: Bacterial small subunit ribosomal RNA
Source: RNAcentral